RNAcentral lists this ribosomal RNA (252 nucleotides) under uncultured bacterium. Its description in RNAcentral is "partial 16S ribosomal RNA". It matches the Rfam family "Bacterial small subunit ribosomal RNA", at positions 524 to 776 of the family's 1533-position model. The record is from RNAcentral.
UACGUAGGGUGCGAGCGUUGUCCGGAAUUAUUGGCGUAAAGAGCUCGUAGGCGGUUUGUUGCGUCUAUCGUGAAAACCUGCAGCUUAACUGUGGGCUUGCGGUGGAUACGGGCAGACUUGAGUUCGGUAGGGGAGACUGGAAUUCCUGGUGUAGCGGUGAAAUGCGCAGAUAUCAGGAGGAACACCGGUGGCGAAGGCGGGUCUCUGGGCCGAUACUGACGCUGAGGAGCGAAAGCGUGGGGAGCGAACAGG